GCAAGAAAGUGAAGUGUAGGAAGUCAGACUCCAGUCCGACCAUUAAAAACUCCCCAGGGGGAGCCGUGUAACAUGAGGAGGAGUCUCCAGCUCUGCUGCUGCCCCCAUCUCAAAGACCCUAGGGGUUAGGGAUGGAGAUCGCUGGGGCCCCCUGCUCCCAGCCCCCCCUCACACCAGUGAAUGUUCCCCUUCUAUAUGAGCUGCCUGUGCCCCAAACUGGACUCCUCACCCCACAGGGAGUGCCCAGGGCCCAAAGCAUUGAGCCCCCUUGGGGGACAGGGCUGGCCCCCCUCCCUGAGGCUUCUGCAAUAAAAUCCACUCCUAUUCCUCCUCGUGGACCUAGGCAUACAGUCCCCUGGUCCCCUUCUAGGACCCAGACAUACACUCCUUGCCUUGCCUCCUUCCUAGAAUCCAGGUAUCCACUCCCUCAACUCCUCCCCUAGAUCCCAGGUAUCCAGACCACCCCCUCAACCCCUGCUGCCCUCCUGACUCAGGCGUCUGAGCCCUGACCCCCUGUUUGUUACCUUCUGAGCUCAAUAAAUGUGGAUUCAGGGUUUUUUCCCUCUGGUCUCUCUGUGUCCUUCCUGGUUCUUGUUUGGCGGGGAGAGGAAAGAAUAAAAUAAGUCACCCCCCCUUAAGAUAAAGGGAAGGGAAAGUGAGAGAAUACCAAAGACCCUGUAUCUCCUCCUUCCCCCUUCCUCCCAACCUGACUGUUCUGCUUAUUUUCCCUGUUAGAGAACAUGUAGGGACUUCCAAGAUGUCCACCCCUGUCCCGCUUCCCCUCAGGGCAUCUCUUAUACCUCACCCCCACAUUCUCCCAUACUGGGGUGUCCCUCACUCUACCCCUGCGUAGUCUCUCUCUGGCUCCCGCCCCUGGCUUUGAAGCCAGGAAGCCAAAGAGGAAAUGACUCUCCCAGUCUUGGCCCCCGCCCGCCCCGUUCUCACACCCCCCUCCCACCUCGGCUCCCCACCCCGCCCUGCCUGUCCCCACCAGGCCAAGGCCACUAGCUCCGGACCCCCCAGCUCCAAGAUGUCAGCUUCAGGCCACCUCUACUUCCUCUUCCUCCUCCUGGGCUUGGCCCCAUCUUCAUGGACCCAAGGUACAUCGAUGGCCCCCUACUUAGACAUGGUGGAGAAGAACCAUUCAACCCCAUCCGAGGAGCCACUUGCUUCAAGCUUAAGCACAGCUCGAAGCCCAACCACCUCGGAGCUCCAGCUGACUUCGAGGGAUCCCACCAAGGAUGGUGAGGACACAGGCCAAACCCAGCCAGAGGAUAAGGUGGAAACGACUUCAGCAAUGGGUAACUUAGAGCCUAGAACUGUGGCCAGCAGAACAAGACCCCAGACUCCAUCCAUCUCUUCUGGUGAGGAGGAGUGGGAUCCCUUCAAAAGCAAUGAAUAUACGCUCCGAAAGAGGGGCUUAAUUGCAGCGGCUAUACUCUUUAUCACAGGCAUCCUCAUCCUCACCAGCGAUCGGUGCCGCCAGUUCCGCUGGUGCAGAAGGCAGCAGCGAAGUGCCUACAGGGUGACCCAAGCCUGAGGCCCCAGACUCUAAUGAAGAGGUAUCAAUGGAGCCGUAGCGGUGGAAGGACCCCCCAGACUCCAACCAAGCCUGAGACUCAGGGAGCUCUGGGAAGAAAGCACCACUGACCACUUUGUGUGGCCUCUCACCAUCAUGGCCUCUUUCUCAAGAAGGCACAUGCUCCCCCAGUUUCUAGGUCUCCCUGGUCUCUGACAUCCCCCCGGCCCAGACCCCACAUUUCUCAGCACUUAGCUUGGUACCAAAUGCUCAAUAAACGUUUGCGGGACAAACGGAUGAAUGAAUGU
This is a long non-coding RNA of Phascolarctos cinereus (koala), 1827 nucleotides long. The record is from Ensembl. NCBI's taxonomy places the organism in Eukaryota, Metazoa, Chordata, Mammalia, Diprotodontia, Phascolarctidae.